GUGUGAGUAUGUGUGUAUACACUGCAUUAUAUUUUUCAAAUGUGUUUGCCUUUGAGGAGUUGUUUAAGCCAGGGAUAAAGGCUAUUAGUUAUUUUUCUAUAUGCUCUGGCUAUUCCUAUACACAGAUUAUUGCCUCAAUGCCACCACUCAUAUUCUUAGUCACUCAUGGAUGAAACAAGAGCAUCCUAUAUGCUAACUAGCUUUAUCAUGGUAGAUUCUUGAUUUUUGCACUUAAAUCCAAUUAUAUUUGGCGUGUUUUGGUUUAUCUCACUCAACAUGACUUCAGACAGUUUCAAAGCCAAGGAGGAACGCAUAAGUAUUCGGGCAGUCAUUGAAGGCAAGAACCCGUCACCUCUUCUUACCUUAUCAUGGGACCAAUGGUUCAUUCAAGAGCUUAUGCUCAACCCAGUUGCUCCAAGGGCCAUAUCAUUUAUACUUGUUUCAUGAUACUGUCCAGUUACCACUGAAUAUGAAAAUAUCUUAAAAUAAUUGCUUUAUCAGGUGUGGAUCAAAACCUUCUUUUAUGUCAGUUGGUGGUGGAGGCAGAGGGCAGUUUAGUGCUUUGCCAUCCAAACCACAGAAUAUCUUUGCUGCUUUAUUUUUUCCUUCAAUUGUCAUUGAAAAUAACUAGUCAUAAUGCCUUUGUAAGCCUCGCCCAGCCUCAGCUAUGCGUAAAUCAUGCUCCCAGACAGGGCCCCUUGGUUUAGAGGUCCCAUUGUGGAAGUGAUUUAGGUAGAGGCAGGAUCAUGAAUAAAGAACACUCACCCUCUUCUUCAGAGGCAGGGGCGGGAGAGCCCUUCCCAAACAUCUCUUUUCAGUACCAGUAUUUGGCUAAGAGCUUUAAUUUCAUUAGACAAAUGGGGGCUGGGUUUUUCCAUGCAUCUCAGCCUCCUUUUAAUGUGUAAAUUACAUAGGAUUUGCCACUCAUUACAAUGGUGAUAUGAUUAUUGGCCUCAAAUAGACCACACUGCACAGGCCCUCAGUGAUAGGCCAGCUCAGAAGUGGCAUGUGUGGGAAGCUUUGGACAGCAUAUGUCUGCUGAUCACAAGCCUUCAAAAGAAUAGAAUCCACAGACGCGAGGCUCCCACUGGCUUUACUCAGAGUGCUUCACGGAAAGUUGAUUUCUGGGUGGACGUGACAUCCUGAAAGGUAACAAUAUAGUUACAAAGUGAAAACUGCUCCGGGCGAAAGGAGUGGCAAGGAGAAUGCUUUUAGGAUUUGGAGGCAGAAGCCCUAGGCCUGGCUGUUUACUGAAGAAAGUCAUGUCACUGAACUCUUAUGAACCUUAGUUUCCCCACUCACAAAAUGAGGAUAAUAAUGCCUCCCCAAUACCUGCAAGUUAUUAAGGAACACUAUUUGUUGAUACUGCGCUAGGUAUGACUGUGC
RNAcentral lists this long non-coding RNA (1386 nucleotides) under Macaca fascicularis (crab-eating macaque). RNAcentral's name for it is "lncRNA (ENSMFAG00000058408.1)". Lineage: Eukaryota; Metazoa; Chordata; Mammalia; Primates; Cercopithecidae. The record is from RNAcentral.